CUUCAGAGCAAUGAGGUUGAAUGUCUUCAGAGUGAUAUUCAAAGGCUUGAAGACAAGGUAAUGUACAUCUUAAAAAUAUGCCCAAUGUGUGCGCUUUCUGUUAUAAAAAUAAAACUGAUGUUUACAUAAACAAACAUUUCUCAUCUUCACACAGAAUGAAAAACUAAUCUUUGAGAAAACAUGCUCUGAAGAAAGCCUCAACAAACUGAGGAAGGUCAACGCUGAAUUGAGGGUAAGAAGAGAUGAGUGUAAUUGUCUCUACACUGUAAUGAGUUUGUGUUGUUAGUAAAAGCCUGUAUGUUCACAGGCUGGACUUGAGGAAACUCUGAUUAUGUUGACACUGAGAGACAGAGAAAUAUCAAAGGUAAGUACAUUUUUUUUCCUAACGAUGAAAGUUGAAAUUGUCACAUUUUAAAAUUUUUAUUUUAACUGUCUAGAAAGACAUUCUUAUGGAAAAGAUGAAGAAUACUCAUGUGGAGAAUCACAGAAUGAUAGAGGUAUGUUUGAUAGAGCUUAGAGUUGAAGGGAGAAUAUUCGAUACUGUAAAUGCCAUGACAUCAUAUUGAAUGCUAAUCAGAUGUUACUAAAAUCUUUUUCCUCUAUUCCGGUGUUGUAGGGUCUGCAAUCCGAGCUGAUGAGAUUACACGAACAUUCAAACCAAGUUCUUCUGAGGUAUGAAAGACAUUGUAUCAGCCCUCAGGGACUUUACAGUCGUGAGCCUCCAAACCAUCGCUCUCUGCAGAGCGAGAUGAAGGACAUGCAGCAGGAACAUCACAGAGCUUUGGAUGAUAUAAGUCUCCUAUCACACACGCACAGCGAUGAUAUUCAAAGCAUUAUCCAAAGGAUCACGAAUGCAGAAAUAGCUCACCUUCUUCACAAUAAAUAUCUCGAGAGGGACUGUGCUCCUGUGGAAAUGCAGGAGAGGCCUUUUCCUCAACAGCAACAGGCAAGAAUCAAGCAGCAGCUUCUCAAUGUGUAUGUGAUUUUUUUUUAACCUCCCUUUCUCCUCUUAUGGUAACAGAUUGGUUUUGGUUGAUGUUAGUCUUUGUUCUGAGAAGCUAAGCUAAUAAAAAGAGUGUCUGGUUUUUACAGUGUAUUUAUGGGCAUCUCCAUUACAUAACCAUACCAGUUACCAUCUUCCGUGUGCAAGACCGUAUCAGGGAUAAGUGCACUUUUAGUACCCCUUGGUAACUACAGACAUUACAGCGAUGUUUAUAAAGCUGUGGUGGUGGUUUCAGGCUGCAGGAGCUCGAAUUGUACAAGUAUGUGUGGGAGGAUAAAGGGGAGAAGGUGGAGGAUCAGCAGAGAGCCUGGGAUAGGGAACAAAAGGAAAGUCAGAGUGGGAGCCAGAUUCCCAUCAAGGAGGCCAAGAAGGUGGCUGUGGCAAAGUGGUGGAAAGCCCUCAGCGUAGAGGGGGCUAAGGUCCGAAGUAAAGACAUUAAGU
This 1444-nucleotide long non-coding RNA is filed under the name Oreochromis niloticus (Nile tilapia). Its description in RNAcentral is "lncRNA (ENSONIG00000033557.1)". Lineage: Eukaryota; Metazoa; Chordata; Actinopteri; Cichliformes; Cichlidae. The record is from RNAcentral.